AGCGAACGUUAGCGGCGGGCUUAACACAUGCAAGUCGAGCGAGAAAAGGGCUUCGGCCCUUAGUAAAGCGGCGGACGGGUGAGUAUCACGUAGGUAAUCUUCCCUCGAGCGGGGGACAACGGUCCGAAAGGACCGCUAAUACCGCAUACGUUCCCAGAGACUCCGGUCAAUGGGAGGAAAGCUAGGUAGCAAUAUCUGGCACUCGAGGCGGGGCCUACGCCGCAUCAGCUAGUUGGUGGGGUAACGGCCUACCAAGGCGAAGACGCGUAGCUGGUCUGAGAGGAUGAUCAGCCACACUGGGACUGAGACACGGCCCAGACUCCUACGGGAGGCUG
This 335-nucleotide ribosomal RNA is filed under the name uncultured Pseudomonadota bacterium. RNAcentral describes it as "bacterial SSU rRNA". It matches the Rfam family "Bacterial small subunit ribosomal RNA", at positions 29 to 351 of the family's 1533-position model. Lineage: Bacteria; Pseudomonadati; Pseudomonadota. The record is from RNAcentral.